ACUUUAUGAGUAUAUCUGUACACCUGCCUUCCAAGCAGAGAGUUUGAUUAAAUUCAAAUAAAGUA
RNAcentral lists this transfer RNA (65 nucleotides) under Arctonoe vittata. Its description in RNAcentral is "tRNA-Gly". The record is from RNAcentral. Lineage: Eukaryota; Metazoa; Annelida; Polychaeta; Phyllodocida; Polynoidae.